CCGAGUUUUCGGGCUUCGGCUCGACUCUCCCACCCUUUGUGAACGUACCUCUGUUGCUUUGGCGGCUCCGGCCGCCAAAGGACCUCCAAACUCCAGUCAGUAAACGCAGACGUCUGAUAAACAAGUUAAUAAACUA
RNAcentral lists this unclassified non-coding RNA (136 nucleotides) under uncultured Lasiodiplodia. RNAcentral describes it as "sequence contains ITS1". Lineage: Eukaryota; Fungi; Ascomycota; Dothideomycetes; Botryosphaeriales; Botryosphaeriaceae. The record is from RNAcentral.